This is a long non-coding RNA of Pezoporus flaviventris, 2256 nucleotides long. RefSeq lists it as uncharacterized. The transcript is spliced from 4 exons. NCBI's taxonomy places the organism in Eukaryota, Metazoa, Chordata, Aves, Psittaciformes, Psittacidae. The record is from RefSeq and is a predicted model, not a curated record.
CCCCAGCUUGCACAAAACUAGAGAUCCAUGUUGCUCUUAAAUCAUUUCUCAGAAAGUCAGUUUAAUCCAAUAUAAAUAAUAUUCUGGUGUAUGCAGUUGUGGGUAAAAGUCAGUACCAAGGAACAAAUCCUGUAUGAAAUUAAGUCAGCAAUAAAUCUCCCUUUGGCAUCAGUAGUUCAAAAUCAGGGACUACGUGUCUGAGUCUAAUUGCAGUUAUUGUUCUCAGUGCUGCAGUGUGGACAAUGACCCCUACGAGGAAGCGUGACAAACUGAGAAAUCCUGCUGCUGUAAACAGCAUCAACUGUUCUCCCCUCUGUGACAUUCUCCUGUUAGUGACAUUCUGGAUCAUCUGUUCAAAAGUGUUCAACAAGUGACUAUUAAAGGCAGAACCUGAGCAUGGGUAGAGGAAAUAAUGCGAAUUUUGACGUGAAAUUCGCGCCGAUGGGUUUAGGCAGUUGCCUGCAGGAGUAUUGCCGGGCGGUGUAAUGAUGUGAGCAGCUGUAUUGCCCUCUAGUGACAGGUGAAGAAAUUCUUCUCCAUGCAAUAGGUAGCACCGUCAGACGCUUUCCAGACACAUAGUUAAGACAGGUAUCGGCAGUAAAAAGUUCUUCUGGAAGCUUUUGUAAUUUGGAGAGCCAUUCACAGGAGCGACCUUGGAAUUUGAAAUCUGACUCAGGGUUUUGUCACCUUUCGUGCAGGAUUUCUGCAUUUUCCAAAGAUUAGCAAGAAAAAAUGGAUGGCCCACAUGGUAACUAAAGCUUCAAAACAGUGCUGGUGAGAAAUACAAAGAAGUCACUAAGGAGGAUUAAACAUUUUAAGGAUCGCUGCUGCUAUUAAAACUGUAUCAUUUGAAAUUGUGUCCUAGGCAUACAGAUUACAGCUUCAUGUUCUUUGCACUGACAUAACACCAAGGACCUGACAAUCAAAUUUCUGGUGUGGGAAAAACAUGAGAUAAAGGCUUUCUCAAGUGAAAUGGACCAGACAAUUCAUGUUUUACAGAAUGAUGAGAAAAUUGUAGAAGUAGUCAAGCUUUGAUAUGGAGUAGGAAUGACCAGGUGUUCUGCACUUCAUCCUAUCAUAAAUGCUGUAGUUCCGCUGAUGUUAUUGUAGCUCCACAAACAAUAAGUUAAGAUCUUGGCUGCUAUAUGACCUCCUUACAGUGUAUACAGCUUAUCCUAAUGUACGGCAGUGUUUUGGAUAUGGGCAUGGUGAUCUAGUUGACAGGGGUUUUUCUCUGUAAUGCCUGAUGUUACACUGGUGGUUCAUCAGCUAAACUGUGGCCUAGACAACCUCCUCUAAUUCAUAAUAUAUAGGAAAUGAUACACACAGGUAGUAAAAGCUGCCCAGCUUCUGGCAGCAGGAGCAAAACAAAACCACCUUAUGCACGAUUUGUGGUCCACCCUGGGGAGUGCAGCUGGAGGGACUCUGGGUGGGUCAUGGGGCCAAAAGGGAUGUACUCUGCUGGGCCAGAUGUCUCUGGACACCCACUCGCUCCCAGAGCUUCAUCCAAAUCUCUAGACUAAAACAGCGGGUGCCUCAAAACUUUCAAAAAUACCAUCAAUAAAGCAGCUGGCGACAGAGGACUCUGCUGAAAGACAAGGAGAAUGGAAAGUCAUCCUCUCAAACAAGGUGGCUGCCAGGAAGAGCACCAAGGCCCAGCUGAAGAAAAUUACUGUACUCACUUUGGAAAUUAAAAUCACAGUGUCCAACAAUACUGUUAGAUGCUACUGCAAUUAGUUCUUCUUGGCAACACUACUGGGACAGGCGGAUGAACCUCAAGGGGGAUAUUUGUGGUGGAGGAUGAAGUACAAGAGAUGCAUGCCCACAUCCAGAAAAGUCUACAAAACAGACAUAUUCUCUCUACAACUGGACUAGCCAAAUCCUGCAGCCCACAAGGAAAGGCAAACUCUUAAAGCUUGUCUUCCUCAUCCUUACAAAAAUGCUCAGAUGUCUCAUAGACGGUGAGUUUAAUUCAGGAAAAGACCUGCAACUUACUCCAGUGGCAGAUAUCAUGCACUGAUAUUUACACAUCUUAAACUGAUUAUGAGGUGGAAAAAAAAUACAACGCAGUUGAAAGAAUUCUUUUGGGAAAGUCACAUUAAGACCAAAUAAUUUCCCACCAUUUAGCAAAACACAUCCCUGGACUGUAAUCACCCCUUUGAAGAGUAGGAAAUCUGCCAGGUGGCAAGGACUUGGACUUUUUAAUGAAGUUUCCAUCUCAUCUCUGUUUUCAGAUUAGUGAAGAGCUGCAUCUCU